GACGAACGCUGGCGGCGUGCCUAAUACAUGCAAGUCGAGCGAAUCAGAUGGGAGCUUGCUCCCGGAUGAUUAGCGGCGGACGGGUGAGUAACACGUGGGCAACCUGCCCGUAAGAUUGGGAUAACUCCGGGAAACCGGUGCUAAUACCGAAUAGGUUCUGACACCUCAUGGUGUCAGAGGGAAAGUUGGCUUUUAGCUAACACUUACGGAUGGGCCCGCGGCGCAUUAGCUAGUUGGUGAGGUAACGGCUCACCAAGGCGACGAUGCGUAGCCGACCUGAGAGGGUGAACGGCCACACUGGGACUGAGACACGGCCCAGACUCCUACGGGAGGCAGCAGUAGGGAAUCUUCGGCAAUGGGCGAAAGCCUGACCGAGCAACGCCGCGUGAAUGAUGAAGGCCUUCGGGUUGUAAAAUUCUGUUAUAAGGGAAGAACGACUUUAGUAGGAAAUGGCUAGAGUGUGACGGUACCUUAUGAGAAAGCCACGGCUAACUACGUGCCAGCAGCCGCGGUAAUACGUAGGUGGCGAGCGUUAUCCGGAAUUAUUGGGCGUAAAGAGCGCGCAGGUGGUUGAUUAAGUCUGAUGUGAAAGCCCACGGCUUAACCGUGGAGGGUCAUUGGAAACUGGUCAACUUGAGUGCAGAAGAGGGAAGUGGAAUUCCAUGUGUAGCGGUGAAAUGCGUAGAGAUAUGGAGGAACACCAGUGGCGAAGGCGGCUUCCUGGUCUGUAACUGACACUGAGGCGCGAAAGCGUGGGGAGCAAACAGGAUUAGAUACCCUGGUAGUCC
This 788-nucleotide ribosomal RNA is filed under the name uncultured bacterium. Its description in RNAcentral is "bacterial SSU rRNA". It matches the Rfam family "Bacterial small subunit ribosomal RNA", at positions 28 to 796 of the family's 1533-position model. The record is from RNAcentral.